AACAUGUCUUCUAAACACAAAAGAGAACAACAUCAGAAUGGAUCGAUUUCCUGAUUUUGAGUGUCCAGUCAAAUCUGGAUAUAAUUUAACAUUUUCAUGCAAUGGACAAGGACUGAUUUUAAAAGGACAGAGAGAAAUCACCUGUCAGUCAAAUGGAGAAUGGAGCAGCCCUUUUCCAAAAUGUGAAGGCAAACACACAGAAGCAGUAACCUGUGAGCUUAAGUCAACCACAUUUGGAGUAAAACAGAUCAAGCCAGAGG
Molecule: long non-coding RNA, 260 nt
Organism: Sinocyclocheilus anshuiensis
Lineage: Eukaryota; Metazoa; Chordata; Actinopteri; Cypriniformes; Cyprinidae
Exons: 2
Source: RefSeq, a predicted model, not a curated record